RNAcentral lists this small nuclear RNA (151 nucleotides) under Carlito syrichta (Philippine tarsier). RNAcentral's name for it is "U1 spliceosomal RNA (ENSTSYG00000022982.2)". It matches the Rfam family "U1 spliceosomal RNA". From Rfam's summary of the family: U1 is a small nuclear RNA (snRNA) component of the spliceosome (involved in pre-mRNA splicing). Its 5' end forms complementary base pairs with the 5' splice junction, thus defining the 5' donor site of an intron. Lineage: Eukaryota; Metazoa; Chordata; Mammalia; Primates; Tarsiidae. The record is from RNAcentral.
ACACUUAUCUGGCAGGGGAGUACCAUAGUCAUGGGCUUUCCCAGGGCAAGGCCUAUCCAUUGUAUCCCAGAUGAGCCGACCCCUGAGAUUUCCCCAAAUGUGGGAAAUUUAACUGUAUUUUUUAAAAAAGAAAAAGAAAUAGUUACUUUCA